GCGGUAGUGGCGCAAUGGUAGCGCAUCAGCUUCCCAAGCUGAGGGUUGCGAGUUCAAAUCUCGUCUGCCGCU
Molecule: transfer RNA, 72 nt
Filed under: Prevotella sp.
Lineage: Bacteria; Pseudomonadati; Bacteroidota; Bacteroidia; Bacteroidales; Prevotellaceae
Also listed under: 1 other name
Description: tRNA-Gly
Rfam family: tRNA
About the family: Transfer RNA (tRNA) molecules are approximately 80 nucleotides in length.
Source: RNAcentral